Molecule: long non-coding RNA, 2062 nt
Organism: Dreissena polymorpha
Lineage: Eukaryota; Metazoa; Mollusca; Bivalvia; Myida; Dreissenidae
Exons: 6
Source: RefSeq, a predicted model, not a curated record
UUGCGCUGUAACCUAUAUGCAAUUCUGGGUUAUAACUAACAUUGUGUCCACAGUUGCGCAAAGUUGUUUGAAUAUUUUUGUUUAAAGAAAAGAAUAAAGCAUUCGUAUAACUUGUAAUCAAUAGUGUUCGAUGAAGGAACAAUCAUUUUGAAAAUGACCAAUACUCCAGAAUACAUGUAUAUUUGUCUUUUGACUGAUCUUGGUCAGUGUCUAGCAGUAUCCUUACGACCAAGCCACGUCGCCAAAGCAGCAGUCAAGUAAUUUGUCUUCCACGUUUGAGCUUCCUAUUUGCCACGGUCUGUUGCAAAGUCCACUCAACAUGGAUUGUUUUAAUAAAACAAAUGGAUUUUAAGAAGAUAUUUGCUGAUUCCUGUGUAUGAUCUUAAUUGUAUAUGAAACAAUACAUGAACAACACUGACGCAUAUGAAAGGCAUGACGUCACUGACAAGUGACGACCGUUAAAGUAAAAUAUAUACCAAUGAACGUAAUGUGAAAUGGCGGAUUUAUUAAAUAAAUGAGAAUCAAUAAACAAUAAUAUUAUACAAAUACAAUGACAAAAACGUUGAGGGUCGCCCAAAACCACCCGGUGCCUUGCGAUGAAAACCUCCAACGGGACUGUGACCUUGCCCUUGUACACACCUAAUGGUCAGGUAUAAGGUCACUUGGGCUUAGAUAGUCACUGCAGUAAGAACAUGUAAGGUUUAAAAGGACAUCCGAGACUGCAAUGACGAAAUGAGUGUCCUCACUUCAGCAGUGGAGGCCAAUACACAAUACGAGAGUUUCCAGCAGCUUACCUUAUCUGACGUACCUUGACGAAAUCAAACCAGCAAAUCAGAAGGACAGCCUGCUGCUACCGUUGUUAUCAUAUUAACCCCAUACCGAAAAAGCUCAGAGAUAUAAAGGCUGUUUAAGAUGUGCUUGUCUCUACAUACCCCGUGUCUGGUGUGAACAUGUACAAUUGAAUGUCUCUACAUACUCCAUGUCUGCUGUGAACAUGUACAAUUGAAGGUCUCUACAUACUCCAUGUCUGGUGUGAACAUGUACAAUUGAAGAUCUCUACAUACUCCAUGUCUGGUGUGAACAUGUACAAUUGAAGGUCUCUACAUACCUCAUGUCUGGUGUGAACAUGUACAAUUGAAGGUCUCUACAUACUCCAUGUCUGGUGUGAACAUGUACAAUUGAAGGUCUCUGCAUACCUCAUGUCUGGUGUGAACAUGUACAAUUGAAGGUCUCUACAUACCUCAUGUCUGGUGUGAACAUGUACAAUUGAAGGUCUCUACAUACCUCAUGUCUGGUGUGAACAUAUACAAUUGAAGGUCUCUACAUACUCCAUGUCUGGUGUGAACAUGUACAAUUGAAGGUCUCUACAUACCUCAUGUCUGGUGUGAACAUGUACAAUUGAAGGUCUCUACAUACUCCAUGUCUGGUGUGAACAUGUACAAUUGAAGGUCUCUGCAUACCUCAUGUCUGGUGUGAACAUGUACAAUUGAAGGUCUCUACAUACCUCAUGUCUGGUGUGAACAUGUACAAUUGAAGGUCUCUACAUACCUCAUGUCUGGUGUGAACAUAUACAAUUGAAGGUCUCUACAUACCCCAUGUCUGGUGAAAAUAUGUACAAUUGAAGGUCUCUACAUACCUCAUGUCUGGUGUGAACGUGUACAAUUAAAGGUCUCUACAUACCCCAUGUCUGGUGUGAACAUGUACAAUUGAAUGUCUCAUCUUUGGAAUUGGGACACGUGGAAAAUUAGUGAUUUGAUUCAGACAGAAAUCGCAUAGUGACAAAUCACAACAAAAAAUGGAAAGCAAGAAAGUCUUGUGGCCAGCAAUGUUUUUAUGUGACCACUUAGUUGUGUUCAAAGAAAAACAAUCGUUCAUGUUUUAUUGGAACUAUGAUGCUGUCAGUCAUUUUAUGUUGAAGGCUUUAAAUAACUAUAUUUAAAUAUAAUAAGAUUAAGAUUACUUGAUAAAAGAAAUAAUGUUAUAUAGUAUUUUAAGCGCAAAAUUUACAAGUCUAUCCAAUUACUGUGUCUGUUUUAUGACAUUUUAUUUUGGAAAUGUUAAG